RNAcentral lists this transfer RNA (71 nucleotides) under Cathartes aura (turkey vulture). It matches the Rfam family "tRNA". Rfam says of the family: Transfer RNA (tRNA) molecules are approximately 80 nucleotides in length. Their secondary structure includes four short double-helical elements and three loops (D, anti-codon, and T loops). Further hydrogen bonds mediate the characteristic L-shaped molecular structure. tRNAs have two regions of fundamental functional importance: the anti-codon, which is responsible for specific mRNA codon recognition, and the 3' end, to which the tRNAs corresponding amino acid is attached (by aminoacyl-tRNA synthetases). tRNAs cope with the degeneracy of the genetic code in two manners: having more than one tRNA (with a specific anti-codon) for a particular amino acid; and 'wobble' base-pairing, i.e. permitting non-standard base-pairing at the 3rd anti-codon position. The record is from Rfam by way of RNAcentral. RNAcentral also lists the same sequence under 2 other names. Lineage: Eukaryota; Metazoa; Chordata; Aves; Accipitriformes; Cathartidae.
GCACCAGUGGUGUAGUGGUAUCAUGCAAGAUUCCCAUUCUUGCGACCCGGGUUCGAUUCCUGGCUGGUGCA